CGAACGGUAAGGCCCCUUCGGGGGUACACGAGUGGCGAACGGGUGAGUAACACGUGGGUGACCUGCCCUGUACUUCGGGAUAAGCCUGGGAAACUGGGUCUAAUACCGGAUAUGACCUUCCCCUGCAUGGGGGUUGGUGGAAAGCUUUUGCGGUACAGGAUGGGCCCGCGGCCUAUCAGCUUGUUGGUGGGGUAAUGGCCUACCAAGGCGACGACGGGUAGCCGGCCUGAGAGGGCGACCGGCCACACUGGGACUGAGACACGGCCCAGACUCCUACGGGAGGCAGCAGUGGGGAAUAUUGCACAAUGGGCGAAAGCCUGAUGCAGCGACGCCGCGUGAGGGAUGACGGCCUUCGGGUUGUAAACCUCUUUCAGUAGGGACGAAGCGCAAGUGACGGUACCUACAGAAGAAGCACCGGCCAACUACGUGCCAGCAGCCGCGGUAAUACGUAGGGUGCGAGCGUUGUCCGGAUUUACUGGGCGUAAAGAGCUCGUAGGCGGUUUGUCACGUCGUCUGUGAAAACCCGAGGCUUAACCUCGGGCCUGCAGGCGAUCGGGCAGACUUGAGUACUGUA
This 574-nucleotide ribosomal RNA is filed under the name PAH-contaminated sludge bacterium PB-31. RNAcentral describes it as "bacterial SSU rRNA". It matches the Rfam family "Bacterial small subunit ribosomal RNA", at positions 63 to 653 of the family's 1533-position model. The record is from RNAcentral. Lineage: Bacteria; Bacillati; Actinomycetota; Actinomycetes; Mycobacteriales; Tsukamurellaceae.